This 128-nucleotide ribosomal RNA is filed under the name uncultured bacterium. Its description in RNAcentral is "partial 16S ribosomal RNA". It matches the Rfam family "Bacterial small subunit ribosomal RNA", at positions 648 to 775 of the family's 1533-position model. The record is from RNAcentral.
UACGUAGGGGGACCUGGAACUUCCGGUGGAGCGGUGAAAUGCGUUGAGAUCGGAAGGAACGCCCGUGGCGAAAGCGAGGUCCUGGACGUCUACUGACGCUGAGACGCGAAAGCUAGGGGAGCAAACGG